RNAcentral lists this non-coding RNA (194 nucleotides) under Caldalkalibacillus thermarum. Lineage: Bacteria; Bacillati; Bacillota; Bacilli; Caryophanales; Bacillaceae. The record is from RNAcentral. RNAcentral also lists the same sequence under 1 other name.
GAAUAGAGGAUCGGCAGAGGUGCCCAUGGAUUGUCCAAUGGGCUUAAAAGGGAAGUCCGGUGAGAAUCCGGCACGGUCCCGCCACUGUAUUUGGGGAGAGACCCAUCAUGAAACCACUGGGUUAUUCACCUGGGAAGGGAGAUGGGGAUCGAUGAACCAUAAGUCAGGAGACCUGCCUCUGCUGCACUGGUCAA